This 860-nucleotide ribosomal RNA is filed under the name uncultured Flavobacteriaceae bacterium. Its description in RNAcentral is "bacterial SSU rRNA". It matches the Rfam family "Bacterial small subunit ribosomal RNA", at positions 32 to 885 of the family's 1533-position model. The record is from RNAcentral. Lineage: Bacteria; Pseudomonadati; Bacteroidota; Flavobacteriia; Flavobacteriales; Flavobacteriaceae.
GACGCUAGCGGCAGCUUAACACAUGCAAGUCGAACGGUAACUCUUGGUGCUUGCACCAAAAGACGAGUGGCGGACGGGUGCGUAACGCGUAUGCAAUCUACCUUUUACUAGGGUAUAGCCCAGAGAAAUUUGGAUUAAUCCCCUAUAAUAUCAUGAAAUCGCAUGAUUUUAUGAUUAAAGCUUCGGUGGUAAAAGAUGAGCAUGCGUCCUAUUAGUUUGUAGGUGAGGUAACGGCUCACCUAGACUACGAUAGGUAGGGGCCCUGAGAGGGGGAUCCCCCACACUGGUACUGAGACACGGACCAGACUCCUACGGGAGGCAGCAGUGAGGAAUAUUGGACAAUGGACGAAAGUCUGAUCCAGCUAUGCCGCGUGCAGGAUGACAGCCCUACGGGUUGUAAACUGCUUUUAUACAGGAAGAAAAACUCCGACGUGUCGGGGCUUGACGGUACUGUAAGAAUAAGGAUCGGCUAACUCCGUGCCAGCAGCCGCGGUAAUACGGAGGAUCCAAGCGUUAUCCGGAAUUAUUGGGUUUAAAGGGUCCGCAGGCGGUUUUUUAAGUCAGAGGUGAAAUCCUACAGCUCAACUGUAGAAUUGCCUUUGAAACUGAAAGACUUGAGUUAUUGUGAAGUGGUUAGAAUGUGUGGUGUAGCGGUGAAAUGCAUAGAUAUCACACAGAAUACCAAUUGCGAAGGCAGAUCACUAACAAUUAACUGACGCUCAGGGACGAAAGCGUGGGUAGCGAACAGGAUUAGAUACCCUGGUAGUCCACGCCGUAAACGAUGGAUACUAGCUGUAUGUCUACCUCAGGUAGAUGUGUGGCCAAGCGAAAGUGAUAAGUAUCCCACCUGGGGAGUACGA